Sus scrofa (pig) is the source of this 8558-nucleotide non-coding RNA. NCBI's taxonomy places the organism in Eukaryota, Metazoa, Chordata, Mammalia, Artiodactyla, Suidae. The record is from RefSeq and is a predicted model, not a curated record.
UUUUGUCCCCUUAUCUUAAAUUUUCCUUUCUUAAAUUUUUAUUUAUUCAAACAAUAUUUCUCAAGUUCCUAAUAUGUGCUGGGCACUGUAUUAGGACCCAGAACAAACAAAAUAGACGUGGUGUCUAUUCUAGAACAAUCUGAUGGGUGUGGUAUCAGUGAUUUGUAUAGUUGGUUUCUGAUUGACAGUAAUCUAGUGCUAAAGUCACAGGAUAUUAAGUGGAUCACAUAUUCUUACAUGUUCCAGUUUUUGUAACAUGAGAGGGUAGAGCCAGAUAAGGGGGUCUCUCUGACUGACUGCCAAGGCGCCCCCCAGUUGCCUAGUGAAAUGCCUUGUCACCUGGGUGUGAUGUUGGGCCUGUAGUUCCCGAAGCUUAGAGGCCAGUGCUUCGUGAAAUACUUCCUGAAACGAGAGAGGACACGCUCAUGGUAACUAACAGGAGAAUGCUGUAAAUCCAAACGCUGAUUUUCUCCUUUUGAUGGUGAAUAGCCCUUUCCAUCUGCAAAAUAUCCAUUUUUUAUCACCCUGAAUGAAUCCUACCUAUAUUGGGGUCCCUGAGAGGCUGAAUUCAUAGUCAGAGGAAUAGUAAGUGUAGACGAAAUUGAAGUCAGGUUUUGUGGGUUGUCUUGAGGAAUCUUUUAUCCAGACCAUGUGAAGCCAGGCCCCAUGGCUGCGAGCCCACCGUGUGCCCUGAGCCUGUGUCUGGAUGGUGAGGGAACCUGCAGCCAGUUCCUUUCUAGGCCCCGUUCCCUGGGUUCCUAGAUGACCCCAUCGGUAUGCAAACCUCCCCAAGAUGGAGUUCAGUCCAGUCAGACCCUUAACUUAGCCGUCCCAUCUCUCUAAAGUGAUCUUUCUUGUCUCUGACCUCGUCCGUCGUGGCUUAUGAUCGCUGCCAGGCCCUGAGAGUUCUCCAGCUCCUCUUCCACCUCUGCCUGAUCUCAUCAUUCUCUCCACCUUGCCUGUCACUGCCUGCAACAGAACUGCAGUCCUUACGUAAUCCGUGAGGUUUUUUGUUUUGGGCUUUUUGUUUGGUUGGUUGGGCCUUUCCAUUCCUUCAUCCAUUUAAUCCAUUUCUACUCUCUUUACUGAUCAGCUAAAUUUUAAGGAAGUGCUUUGAACUGAAUUCAGCCCAAGCUUUCAGACAAAGAAGAUCUGGUUCUUAAUCAUGACUGAGACUCCCAGGGUCGAGUUUGAAAAUAUCAAUAACACCCAUGUUUCAGUCUUUCCUCCUUCCCAGGGGCCCUUGCUGCCCUGAGCCAGGUUGGUCUCCCUGCUUCCAGAUGCCCCCUCCUUAACCCCGGGGUCCGGGAGUGCUUGACUUCCAGCCGUCUUGAUUUCUGUGCCCUUGUUAUGGGAGUCUUUGAAAGGUGGUAAGGUAAGCAGCCACUGCUUCGCUUUCCUAAGUCUGGACCUUUGUUUGGAUGUCUUUACGUUUGCAAAAGAAUGCCUACUUAAGCCUCAUACUUUUUUUUUCUUUUGUUUUUUUAAGGCCGUACCUGUGGCACAUGGCAGUUCCUGGGCCAGGGAUUGAAUUUGAGCCACAGCUGCAACUUGAGCCGCAGCUGCUGGCAAUGCUGGAUCCUUGCACUGGGGAUGGAACCCGAGCCUCUGCGGUUGGGUUCUUAACCCCACUGCUCAGUGGGAACUCCAGCUUCAUACUUUGAUAUUAUAUUCCUGACCAUUUGACCUCAUCUCUCCUGGCGGCACAGAACUGAAUUUCUUUUGGACUAUGAACGGUGACUUCACACUCUGGGCUUCAUCAUCCAUUCACCACCAUCUGUUGCUAAAUGCAGACUCUAGAAUUGAACCCCACACGCUUCCUGCCUGGGAAUCUAGUGCAUGAUAUCAUCUUCGUCAUUACUUUUGAGAUUGCCUACCUUGGGGAAUUAAUGUCCUGGCUAGUGGCGUUUUCACUUCCCACUUUAGGACUUUUGGGUAUGAUGUGUUUUUCAGAACUGUCCAGUGUAUUAAUAAUAGACAAGAACUGGCGUCACAUGAGCACAUGGGGCCUUGAAUAUUAAGGUCUCUGGGGAUUCAGAAGAGCAAAUUAUAGAGUACAUUUUAUGUCUUGGAAAGGGAGUGAGACUAUAAUGAAUUUUUAAGUUAGCAAAUUGCUUAGUCUCCUGAGGCCCUGCAGCUUGCCGAGGUUACAGGGGUAAAAGGCACCUGCACAGAGGAAUUUCUAGGUCAGAACCAACAUUUAAAGUAGUGGUGUGUUAAUGCUUGAAAAGAAAUAAUGCCUGCAUUUUUUAUGACGUGUAGCUUUUGCAGCUGGAUCUAAUGAACGAUGCUCCAAGAAACUGAGCCAUUUUCCAGGCUGCUGUUUCCAUUAGUUACGUCCUGUGCCAUAGAGCCCAUAGCCCAUUCUUAAAUUAAAGACAGCUUUGCUAAAAGGACAGCCCAGUACAUGAAUGUGAGUGGAGGCCUGUGGCAAAUGCCCAGGGCCCCCAGUUUUUUAAAAACCUUGCUAGUCUUAUUUGGCUAUUUAGUCAGCAGUUUAACUUAAAAUCAAAUACAGUUUCAAAGAUUCUGAGUUCAUGGGGCUUUUUGAAAAAUGAAUCCUCAUGUGAUUAGUGUUUGAUUAGAAGUGAUCAAAGAGGACCGUUUUCCUCACAAUGUCAAGUGGAGAUGUGUCAUCAAAAAUAAGAGCAGAGCUCAAAGGUCAAUUAAAGAUUCCAUGACGUGUCAUGAUAUUAGCUCAGAAGAAUGUGGGUUUAAAAAGAGAAAUAAAGUAUUUUGGCGUCUUCAGCAAUAGGCUAGAGAAGUUAUGACCUAAACUCAAAUGUAGUCCUAAAGACCAUAGUUUUCUAAGGGACCAAAACCAUGGAAAUAAAGAAUAUAUACUCUACUCCAUGCCCAUGAGAGGAGACGCUAUGGACACUGACUCUUGGACAGGCUGGCUACCUCCUGCCACCGUGUUUGAUGGUAGGCCUUGACUGCACAUCGUCCUAUGAACGUUGUUGCCCAGAUCAUGAUAGGUCUUGUCCUCCCUUAAAUGUCCCUCCAUGUCAGGUACCCCCAAGGUGCUGUCUGCUGUGCUCAGGUUCUAGCCACUCUUCUGCUCUCACCUCCUUGCUGAGCCCUUCUGCUGCCCUGGAAACAUCUGGGCACAGGGCCAGUUCUGCUGGUCUUUGGGUCUGCUGUGGGCUGGGGUGGGCUUCUGCUCCAUGCCCUUCUGUUGCAUGGCUGACCCUGCUCCCUCACAACUCAGACCAGAGCCUUGGACAGUGAGGGCAAAGACUCCAUCUUCUCCUUUCCAUCUCUUGGUCUUCCUUUCUCUGGACACCCCUACUAACCCAUAAAAAACUGCUUCUUGCCCAAAAAUGAACCCCUUCAAUUACCAACUCAUGCCAGACUUCUGCAAGUAUCACUAGGUCACCAGUUCUGCAAACCACAAUUAAUUGGACACAGACUCCCCUGCUGCAAGUCAGUUUUGCUUGAAAAACAGGAUAUGCAGGAGCCGUGGAAGUACACUUGCCAAAGGAAGAGUGAGUUUUCAGACAAGCAUAAAGGACAAACAGGAUUCCUCCAAGGAAUGUUAAUACCUUUUGAUCGAUCUUUGAGAUUCUCUGCAGGCCACGAUAAAUAGAACCUUCUUUAUUUCUCCCUCAUUCCUCUGCACUUCACCUAAACACUGUAAAAAGAUACAAAGACUGCAGAAAGUUUGAAAUGGAACAUUCAGUGUUUCUACCCUCAAAAAGUAACCCCACCCCAAAUUAUCAAUCACGUAUCUUUCUUUCUCAUGUGUGUACCCUUGCUCCUCUCUCUCUGUACAUGCGCAUACAUUCUGGAUGUUGUGUAAUAGAUCUUCCCUCUUUAUCGACAUAUGUAGAUAGACCUUAUUUUUAAUACGUAUAUUGUUUAGUAUAUUAUGUAGGAGUAUUAUAAUGAAUUAUGAACUAUUGUAUUUAGAAACAAAGCAAUAUACCACAGGAUUAUCUGUCCUAAAUAACUGAAGGCCUGCCUAUGUCACAAUGCAUUUUUCAGGAGAAUCAAGUCAAAAUACUUUCUGUUCCGAUGAUUCUGAUCAGUGUUCACCACAGGACAGAACUCUGAAGGAUCUUGUUUAUGCUUAUUCCAUCUAAGUAAAUGAUUUGGGUGUUUUCAUCCUGGAUUCACCAAGUCACUAGUGUUCACAUGUGGUUGAGAUCAUAAAUUCAUUUUAAAAGCAUGCUUGGAAUUUUGCAAUUUUACAAUUCGCAGCAAGCACCAGAUAAAUUCAGUACUUUCUAACAAGUAGUAUCUUUAAUCACUCUUACUUAAGCAGGUAAAUGAUGGUUCUUUGUAUAGUAGAUGCAGAACUGUGAUGAAUUCAUUUUUCUGCUCUGUUGUGCCUGUGCUGGUAGCCUCUCCCUGGCUGCAGACAGUGAAGGAGGCUCUUCCCAACCUGGCUUCCUCCACAGGCCACACCCCAACCUGGCUUCCUCCUCAGGCCACACCCCCAACUGGCUUCCUGCCCAGGCUACACCCCCACCUGGCUUCCUUCCCAGGCUACCACCGCCAAGGUCAGCAGAGAGGACAGUCGCCCAGUGCCCCCAGGUGCUCCUCAGGACUAGGCCACACCUCCGCUCGUCUUACCCAGCUUCCUGCUUGUCUGCUACCUCCCAAGCUCCUCUCGCCAGUGGAAUGGCUGGACCUUGGAGUGGACUGCUGCUCUGAAGGCCCUCUCGCCACCGCCUGAAUCCUGCUGCUCUCAGGCUUGAUCAUGAGACUUGCUUUGGCCAACAACCUGCGAGUGGAGGUGAUAUUUGCUGUUUCUGGGCAGAAGCUCUAAGAGCUAGCCCAUAGUUCUCCACGUCCUCUCCCUGAAUCUGUCUUUGUUAGGAUGUCAGCUUGGGUUCUCAGUGAUUCAAAGCUGGUUGUUGACCCAGGAUGGAUGUGCACGAUUUUUAUUGUAUUCUUGCACAGAGAGUACAAGAGCAAUAUCAAGAAACACACAGCUCUAAGCCUCUCUCUUCCAGCCUGGACUUUUAAAUGAGAAAUAAAGCUUCAAACAAAGGAAAGAACAAGAGAUGUAGGAUAAUUUUGUCAAUAGGAAGUUUGUAAUCUAAAGAGAGAGACCAGCCACAAAACUGUAUUAUCUCCUGGGUGCAGCAAUAAGAUACUAUGUAAAAUCCCCGAAUGUGUAGCACAAUGGGCAAAUGCAAGUAGAUAAUAAGGAACAAAAUAUGUCUAAGUAGACCCAAUUCGGAAGUCAAGGCAGGGAGAAUCAGGGCGAAUGGGCAUUUUCAAGAGAGGCUUCUAUCAAUCUUGAGGUAAGGGCUAUUGAUCCCACAGUGGCAUACUCAGAUCAGAGUCUUAAUAGCAUCUUAGAAACAGGAAAACCACUAUGUAUCUUUGCAAAAUACUCACCAUACUAUGCUAUAUAGCAUCAAUUCUGACGGCAGGUAGGUGAAAACUUAGCCCAUUGAUGUUCUGGAUGAGUGUAAAUUCUUUGUUAUUGCUUGAAGGAAACAGCACUGUUGUAGCUUUGGGAGUUUUAUAUUUCCAAGGAUGAUAAAAAGAUCCUUUGCAUAAGGUUUUGCUUUUGCUGUUGUGGAUUCUGAGUCUUGCACCCCAUAUAUCCUACAAAGAGGCUGGAGGUCCCAGGCCAGCAAGAGUUCUGGCGGAGGUGCAGUAGAAGUUGUGUGGCAGAUUAGGGAGGAACUGGGCUUUUCAGUCCUGGUAUUGCCUCUCAUUAGCUCAACAACUUUGGACAAUUCCCACACUUAUUUUACAGUGUGCUUGGAUAUAAGUGUGUAAACCAUGCUUCUAUCGUCUGUAAAUCUGAUGCUUUACUAUCUGCCUCAUGUGUACAUGCUGGACAUGCCUUGCUCUGGGCGGCCCAGUAACGAGCCUCGUCACCUUCCCUGGCCCCUCCCCCCUCGCUCCCUCUCCAGCCCCUUCAGAAGGAGCCCUCUCCCCAGGCACACUUCUGCAGUGCAGACCAGCCAAUCCAGAGUCCAUACCACCAAUCACAUCCUUUCUCAGCCUCUGCCACUUGGGACCCUGCACCUUUGUCCCAGUGACCCCAGGGCUAGAUCCCAGUUAGCGGCAUUUCCUCUGCCCAGAGCACUCAUCAGUCCUAACCCUACUCACUCUGUCUCCUUAGUCCUUUCUGUGGCAAUCGCAAUACACAUCUGGAUCACUGUUCCCCACCCCCUCUGCUUAAUGACCAGCCUGGCACUUGCUCCUCCCUGGACCUGCCUUCCCAGUAGCAGCCGUCUCCUGAUCUGGUGGCCUCACUCUACCUCUGACUUUCUGUUAAUACACUCUAUUGUAAAGCAGGGAGGAACUGACUUAAGUCUGCUUAACUGUCGUGGAGGCUCAGAAGGAUGAGAACAGGGAACUGUAGAGAAUGUUUUUCUAGGUCUCAGGGGCCACUUGGCUCUGCUCUGCUCUGCUCUGCAUACCUGCUAUUCCUUGUGCUUUCAGAGAGCUGGCUUCCUUUGCUGUCCUGAGCAUGAUUCAUUUGAGUUGCCCUUGGCUGACAAGUCUGUUCAAAUCCAGCAUUCAUACCUUACUCCCUUGGGUUUUUCAUGUCCUUCUUCCAAAUCCCUGUGGGAAAAGAAGUCUGAUCUGGCCAGUCCAGGCUUGGAUCAGCUGUCCAUUCAUCAGCUGCAGACAUGCUUACAGACAGGGAGUGGGGGCUGCAGGGCUGUGCACCAAUGUCUAGGACCUCAGGACUUUUGCAGUAUUUUUCAAAAAAGCAUUUAAAGCGAUUCCAUAACAAGAAAAAAAAACCCAUAAAUAACUGAAAAGACGGCAAAUCAUUAUUCUUCAAAGGCAGAUUUGCUUGGUCAGAUAGUUCAUUUCCCAAAGAACAAAAAUAAAAUCAAGUGCUCUAGAAUAUUAUUAAGCCCAGUCUCCUAUUAGAAAUUAUAAAUUGAAGACUUCCCAGAGUUCUAAAGCAAAUUCUGAAAAGAAGUCAUACCUAUCAUUUACAUUAUAAGUAAACAAUAUAGUUUAUUGUUGGAAGUUCCAGGAAAGCUAAAACUUGGAACUUAUUUAGCAGUAAAGGAAGAAUUGUUUCAGAGACUAAGUUGAACGGUUACGGAAGUCUAGCAAAUAUGUAAAGGUAACAGCAUGUGUGUGUAUUAGAGUUUGGAAGGACUGGAGGUCAGGGUGAAGGGAUUUAAAGUAGUUUGGCUAAAAUAAUCUAACAUUAGAACUUCUAUUUUCAAAAGGGAUGAUUGAACGAUUUUGGUUUCAAGAGGCAUUCUGUAUAUGAUGAAGUACAGUGGUGCUCCUUUGUUAUGGGCCGAAUGUUUGUGUCCCCCCAGAUUCAUAAGUUGAACUCCAGCCCCCAGCCUGGCCGCGUUUGGAGAUGGGAAUUCUUAGGAAGUUAAGUGAGCUCUAAGGGUGGGGUCCCCGCCUCAUAGGAAUAGUGUCUUCUACGAGGAGACACCAGAGGGCGCUCUCGAUGCUCCCACUCCGAGGAAAGGCGAGGGGAGGACCCAGCGAGAAGGUGACCGGCGGCCUGCAAGGGGAAAGAGCCCUCAUCAGGAAUUGCAUCAGCCAGCACCUUGAUCUUGGACUUCUAGCCUUCAGAACUAUGAGGAAAUGAAUUUCUGCUGUUUAUGUCACUCGAUCUACAGUAUUUUGUCAUAACAGCCCAAAAUGCAAUUCAUACAAAAGGAAGUAUUUCAGAGAAGACUAUCAUGACUUUUUUUUGGCCAAGCCUGUGGAAGUUCCUUGGCCAGCAGUAGCCCUGUGAUCAGUGACAAAGCCAAGUCCUUAACCUCUAGGGCACCAGGGUUUAUGGUGAAACUGGAGCAGUGAAUUCUGGUGGAAUUACUUGGGAAUACAGGCAUAUGCAUGACAGUCUGGGGAAGCCAUGUUUGUGUUGUUCGAGGUGAAGAAUUAUCAUCAAUAUGCUGCUUACAUCAUAGGCUGUCCAGUGAAGAUGAAGUUUCCAACAAGGGCCUAGAAGCUCAUGAGCAUAAAGUGCUGGUGCCCUCUCAGGAAGGCUGUGAGCUGGAAGUCACUGUAUCCAUGGAGUGUGGAAAAUUCCAUCCUGAUAUGAGCCUGCAAUACCCUCCAGGGAACUAAUCUAAGAAGCUUGGCAGGUGGGGCAGGAACUCUUAGGUGGGGGUGGUUUCUCUGUGGGGCAAGUGACAGAGUCAUGGUCAGGGAGGCCCUUCUGGUAAGAGAAGUGUCAUGGUUACGGUGACUCUGAGUGUAAGAUGUGUUGGCAAAUGGAAGAGAGAAUGGCUGGAUUAAGAACUAGCUGGGUUGAAACUAGGGGAAAUUGAUUGGGAUGAAAGGGUUGGCCUCCCCUUUAGAAAGGGGCUAAAAGUCCAAAUCACCAGGGCUACAAAGACAUGGCAGACUUUAAUCUACUCUUUCCCCAAGGGCCCAAAAGCUCUAAGGAGGGCUUGUCUAAGGUCCUGGCCCAAAACACAUCAGACCUCCCUGGAUGUCCUGAACCGGCACCUAUAGGAGAAGGGCUUGAGAUUCUUUGGGGUUUUUUGUUUGUUUGUUUUGUUUUGUUUGGUCUUUUUAGGGCCACACCCCAGGCUAGGAGUCUAAUCGUAGCUACAGCUGCUGGCAACGGAGGAUCCGAGCUGUGUCUACAA